Molecule: transfer RNA, 75 nt
Filed under: Nitrososphaerota archaeon
Lineage: Archaea; Thermoproteati; Nitrososphaerota
Also listed under: 2 other names
Description: tRNA-Arg
Rfam family: tRNA
About the family: Transfer RNA (tRNA) molecules are approximately 80 nucleotides in length.
Source: RNAcentral
GGGCCCGUGGCCUAGUAUGGAUAAGGCGUUGCCCCUCUAAGGCAGAGAUCGUGGGUUCAAAUCCCACCGGGCCCG